GGUGGAGUAUGUGGUUAAUUCGAUGCAACGCGAAGAACCUUACCUGGUCUUGACAUCCCGGAGACCCUUAGGAAACUAGGGGUGCUUCCAUCUGGAAGAAUCUGGAGACAGGUGCUGCAUGGCUGUCGUCAGCUCGUGUCGUGAGAUGUUGGGUUAAGUCCCGCAACGAGCGCAACCCUUGCCUUUAGUUGCCAGCAGUUCGGCUGGGCACUCUAAAGGGACUGCCGGUGUUAAACCGGAGGAAGUGGGGAUGACGUCAAGUCCUCAUGGCCUUUAUGACCAGGGCUACACACGUACUACAAUGGCCGAUACAAAGGGCAGCGACACUGCGAGGUGAAGCCAAUCCCGUAAAAUCGGUCUCAGUCCGGAUUGGAGUCUGCAACUCGACUCCAUGAAGUUGGAAUCGCUAGUAAUCGUGGAUCAGCAUGCCACGGUGAAUACGUUCCCGGGCCUU
RNAcentral lists this ribosomal RNA (454 nucleotides) under uncultured Desulfobulbus sp. RNAcentral describes it as "bacterial SSU rRNA". It matches the Rfam family "Bacterial small subunit ribosomal RNA", at positions 931 to 1382 of the family's 1533-position model. The record is from RNAcentral. Lineage: Bacteria; Pseudomonadati; Thermodesulfobacteriota; Desulfobulbia; Desulfobulbales; Desulfobulbaceae.